This 252-nucleotide ribosomal RNA is filed under the name uncultured bacterium. RNAcentral's name for it is "partial 16S ribosomal RNA". It matches the Rfam family "Bacterial small subunit ribosomal RNA", at positions 524 to 776 of the family's 1533-position model. The record is from RNAcentral.
UACAGAGGGGGCAAGCGUUAUCGGAAUUAUUGGGCGUAAAGGGCGCGUAGGCGGCUUUGCAAGUGACGGGUGAAAUCCCACGGCUUAACCGUGGAACUGCCUGUCAGACUGCAUGGCUUGAGACCAGGAGAGGUGAGUGGAAUUCCCAGUGUAGCGGUGAAAUGCGUAGAUAUCGAGAGGAACACCUGCGGCGAAAGCGGCGCACUGGACCACAACUGACGCUGAGGCGCGAAAGCUAGGGGAGCAAACAGG